UGAGCAAUCUGCCCUUCUCUUCGGAAUAAGCGUUGGAAACGACGUCUAAUGCCGAAUACGACCUCCUUUCACAUGAUCGGAGGUGGAAAGCUCCGGCGGAGAAGGAUGAACUCGCGGCCUAUCAGCUAGUUGGUGUGGGUAAUGGCCCACCAAGGCGACGACGGGUAGCCGGCCUGAGAGGGUGACCGGCCACACUGGGACUGAGACACGGCCCAGACUCCUACGGGAGCAGCAGG
Molecule: ribosomal RNA, 236 nt
Filed under: uncultured bacterium
Lineage: Bacteria
Description: partial 16S ribosomal RNA
Rfam family: Bacterial small subunit ribosomal RNA
Source: RNAcentral